CGCUGGCUUUCUUUUGCCCGUCUAUCAUUGUGCGCUUGCGCGGGGUCAUGGCGGCGCGAGACGAGAUCGGGGGGGGGGCGGUCGAGUUUACUUGUUUAUUCGCAGUGCAAGCGCCAUCUUUGUCGUGUCUGCCGGCGUUGCUUCUGGUGCCCCUUUUCUCUGGGAAGGGGCCCCAGUGACCUCAUGGACCCCUUCUCCCUCUCCCGCCAUUUUCAGUGUCCGCGUUGACAGAGCAAGCCCCGCCCACCCGCGACCCCCUUCGCGUCUGCACCCGGUGAGGCAGAAAGGAGGAAGGACGGGGGUGGCACCGCACUCUCGCCAGCCCACAGGCGCAGGCGUAUGCGCGUGUCUGUGCCCUUGUAGCGAGGACGCGCUGCGUGCCUGCCGGUAUGGCCCUCUCGGUGUGUAGGCGGCACGAUCAAACACACACAGACACACAACCCGCCCCAGCAGUCGGAUCGAAUGGGACGAAUACGCCGGACUCGCCUGACGGCCUCGGUGCAUCUCUCCCUCUCUCCCGCUCUCGCACGCUGGGGAAGAAAUGGAAGCAUCUAUGUAGAUGGAUGUGUGCGUACGUGUGCUUGCCUGUGAAUGCCCGUUAUUUUCUUUGUGAUUAUGCCGAAUGUGACGCAGUAUUCCCUUUGCCUCACUCUAUCCCGCUCGCCUGCCUGUCUGCCUGAGUCUGCAUGUGCAUGCGUGAAAGUGUGCCACUGCGUGCGCGGUUAUGCAUGUCGCCGCGAUGGAUGGGCCGCUACGUAGUACGUUUUGCGGUGCUGAUGGUCAUGACGACGUUGGAUGCCAGAGAUGGAGAGAGCAAGAGAGGUACGAGGAGGCACAUCUGACUAGCGGCCACGAGGCAGCACGUGAUGUAUCGCGAGGUCAGUUUUCGUGGCAUUUUUUUUUUGUAUGGACACUGAUGCGCCAUGGCGCGCGCUCCGCUUCUCAUCGCUUUUUUUCUUCUGGUUUCGCUUUCGCAUGUCCCCACUGUCUCCUUCGCAUUCCUUCGCUUAGAUCACUGCUGUGAUGAGUGCUGCUCUGUCAAUGUCUUCGGCGUUCAUCGAGAGCGAUGUGCACCCCGCGCCGGUUGACAUGCUUUUCGUUGUCGUGGGGUGGAUGUGUUCGUGGAGGCCGCGCGCCACCCUUUUUGUUUGUGCUUGGGUUUCUCUGUCCUUCUCUCUUUCUGUAUCUCCUUCCAAUGCUUUCAUGGGAGAUGCCGUAUGUAUGCAUACAAGUACUUCCACGCGCGUGCGUCUGUGUCUCCCUCGUUUCUGCAGGCGGCGGCAUGUGCCAGCAAGUUGCCCUCUCUCCCACUCGCUCGCUGGGACUCUCUGGUGUCGCGUGGAUGUCCUCUGCUCCUUGCUCCGCCUCCCUCAGGCUCUAUUGCCGCUCAGAGACGUGAGACCGAAUUCACAUCACGGCUAGGACUAUCCGCUCGGAACGAAACGAGAUGUUGGACUCAUUUUUUUUUUUAUGAUGGGGCGGGGUGAGGGCAGUCCAGCACGACCGUGCGCAUGCAUGCAUGACCCCUGCAGUACACAAAGUGCAUCUCUUUCAUGAGCGGAAUAAGAAAGGGAUGGAGGAGGCGCCAUGCAACAACAUCGAGCCGGUCAUCAGUGCAGUCAGCGGGAAAGUAAAGAAAAAAUGCCCACUGACACCAGAAGAACUCACCUUGGUGUGUGUGUGUGUGUCUGGAGAGGUCGCUUUUCCUCCGUACAAUGCCGCACUCCGCGCCCUUCCUCCCGCGGCAGCUUUCAAGCACGUUGCAUCGUACAUGCUGCGGAAGAUUCUCUUCACCCCCUUCCCCGGGGCCGCUUGCGUCUUGGCCUCGGCGUGCGCCUUGCUGUGUAGCGCUUGCUCUGUACAAGGGGCCGGGAAGGAAUACCUGCGCCUAUGUCUGCACCUCUCUUUGCUACAUGUUGGGCGGAGACGUGUCGCAGCGACUCGGUAUCAUGCUUGAUGUUCAUUGUCACUGCCUCUCUCACUCUCUUCUUGUUUUCUUCGCUCGCGCGUGGGGUUGCAUCGUGCCGCCAG
RNAcentral lists this unclassified non-coding RNA (2031 nucleotides) under Leishmania donovani. Its description in RNAcentral is "gene:unknown". The record is from RNAcentral. Lineage: Eukaryota; Euglenozoa; Kinetoplastea; Trypanosomatida; Trypanosomatidae.